UGGGGAAUCUUGCGCAAUGCGCGAAAGCGUGACGCAGCAACGCCGCGUGGGGGAAGAAGGCCUUCGGGUUGUAAACCCCUUUCAGUUGGGACGAAGCUCCGUCGGUGAAUAGCCGGCUGGAGUGACGGUACCUUCACAAGAAGCCCCGGCUAACUACGUGCCAGCAGCCGCGGUAAUACGUAGGGGGCUAGCGUUGUCCGGAAUCAUUGGGCGUAAAGAGCGUGUAGGCGGCCCGGUAAGUCCGCUGUGAAAGUCGGGGGCUCAACCCUCGAAAGCCGGUGGAUACUGUCGGGCUAGAGUGCGGAAGAGGCGAGUGGAAUUCCUGGUGUAGCAGUGAAAUGCGCAGAUAUCAGGAGGAACACCGAUUGCGAAGGCAGCUCGCUGGGACGUAACUGACGCUGAGACGCGAAAGCGUGGGGAGCAAACAGG
Molecule: ribosomal RNA, 429 nt
Filed under: bacterium
Lineage: Bacteria
Description: partial 16S ribosomal RNA
Rfam family: Bacterial small subunit ribosomal RNA
Source: RNAcentral